This is a long non-coding RNA of Passer domesticus (house sparrow), 773 nucleotides long. RefSeq lists it as uncharacterized. The record is from RefSeq and is a predicted model, not a curated record. NCBI's taxonomy places the organism in Eukaryota, Metazoa, Chordata, Aves, Passeriformes, Passeridae. The transcript has 4 exons.
GUCGAGCUUCACGCCCAUCCUCUCGUCCAGCUCCUCCAGGCUGCCUGGGUGGUGGCUGAUGUGCCCAAAUUUGGGGUCUUUGACACAAAUCCUCCUGCUCUGCUCGUAGACCGAGGGCACGGGCAGCAGGUGGCUCAGCUGUCCCACGGCCUUGGCCUGGCAGCACUCGGAUUUGGGCAGCAGGGGGUUGGAGAAAGAGCCCUCGUUGAUGGCCAUUUUUUCUGGCAGAGCCCAAGAGAGCUUGGAAGAAGCUGAGGCAUCACAGCCACCAGCUGGCCUCUGCCUGGACAUCUUUAAUUUUGUAAUCUCCAGUCCUGCUGGGUUGAGGAUGAACCAUCAGGAGCAACCAAAGGAAACAGCAAAUUAGAGCACCAACUAAGGAAAAGGAUUUAACCUGCUCUAGGCUGUGAGAAGAGCUUCCCUCUUGCUCAUUUUCAGCCUAACCACAGAAAAGUGAAAUAAAAUGCUGCUGGCAGUGAGAAAUGAGGGUUUCCAUCUGACUGCACAGCAGUACCUCAGUCCUCAUCAGUGAUUUUUAAUUAAUGCAAAUUAUGAAUGCAGAGAGAUGUGAAUAGAAUCCAAGGAUUGGCUCUGGAUUGGAAAGUGAUAAACUGAAAUUCUGCUUAAAGGAAUUUAAUGAAGGAUUUGCUGGGAGUUCUGCAGCAGCUGAUCUGAAUUCUGCACUUGAUGUUCUCUGACACUUUCAGAUGCAUCUUUAAUCACAAAAGAACUCCUGUGUUUGCUAAGUCUGAAUAAACUCAGAUGUGGUGGGA